CUGCAGGCAGCUGCUCUGAGUAACGGCACGCACGCAAACCGAGCGGUGGCGAGGUGACGCGGCCCACUUUGCAAUCAGACAACAUUUUUGAAUACUAAUGCAAUAUGAGAUUUGGAGAGGCCAUCUGCCCAUUGAUUUGCAGGUCACAGCGGAGAUCGCUCGCCUCUCGGGUGGUGCACACGACUCGCCAAUCAGAAACAAUAUGGAUUCAUUGGAGAGACUGUUAGUCUUCUGUUGCACUGUGAAUGAUGCUAGAAAGGUGUUGCAUUACCUCGCCUAUAAAAAAGGCAGGCCGACAGCCAGAGCAGACCCUGAUCGAUACCAGCGGAGACGCACCUGAGAGGCCGAGGCACCGACAGCUGGUUUCCAUUCCGCCGGAGGGUUAAAUCGUGGCGAGGGACGACUUACUUGUUCGACCUCCUCGAAUUGCACCCACAGGACGAACGCGUUUGAUACGGAAAACGUGGUUUAAAAAGUUGCAUAACGCGAUGUACGCAGGAGGAUAUAUUCGCACAACCACAACAUCUGGCUCAUCGGGCUCACGCAACACACUGGGGCAGGAAGUGGAUUAAGAGCGCCGGCUGGCCCAUUGACGACGAGCGCAGUUGGAAUAUCUGUAAUCGGCACGGCCAAAGAUCUAAUGGAGAUCGUGGCAGCCCCCAGUCCUCCCACAACAGGAAGCUGUUGCAGUGACAAGUCCCCCCCAAAAAGAUCAGAGUUUAUUUGGCACAUUGACUCCGUCAGAGGAUCUGGGCUCAGAAGUUCUGACUCCGAGACGCCAUGUCACAGCACACUAUGACCACAUGUGCACACUGUAGUAGCGUGUGGUGUUCCCCUCGGAUUGUUUGGGAGCGUUUCUGGGUUUUGGAGUUGCCGUGUUUCCUGAGGCCUUGUCUCCUGGCACAUGAUGGCACCGUAGCUGAAAUGAACCACGUGAGAGCUCAAAGGAUUAUAUUCCUUCUGUCGCUCACGUUGUAGAUGGGCGGGAGAAGCUCGACUUAUGGGGAUAAUUCUUUUCCAAUUUGAAUGCAGCAAAGUUGCUCUGCACAGGCUCACACAAAGAAAGAAAAGGUCUGUGAAGAUUCCAACACCGUGUUAACGUGACUGAGAUCGUUACGUUAUCUUUGAACAGCUGUAGCAUAUCUAGGUUAUUUGCCAGGUCCAGACUGGCUCAACUUUUAUUGGAGCACAGAUCGAAAUGGGGCGGGACUUUGGACAGGUCAGCUAUACCGUGUGAAAGAUCUAGACAGGCCCUGAACCCGUCAUCAUACUCAAGCACAGAAUCAAAUCACAAAACGCUGAGCUGCGUGUUCCUGUUUUUCUGCCACUCACAUACUUUUGCAUAACCGCAAUGGUGCUCAAGUUUCUGAAAUCAUUUCCCCUUCUGGGUUUCAGCUCCCAAACCUCAGGGGCAAACACUCCAGUCUCCUACACCAAAUGCCAAAUUCAUCACAUGUAUAGACACUCCACAAAAUGCUGAGGCUGAAAAAAAAUACUGUUUUUAUCUUUAUUAAUUUGGAAGAAAAAGUUAAAUGUGUCCACAGGCUCAGCGGUUUUCAUACUGGUUAAGAAGCGCCAUGCUCUCCUUUUCCUGCAGCAGGAGCACAAUCUGGCAAGAAGCAAUGAGGAUCAGCGAGGGAGAUCGACAGGCCUCUACCACGGCCUGUUUUUGUCUUACAACUUCAACCCUUUCAUUAUGAGUUUUUAUAGUUAAAGGCAGUUCACAUCAACAUUAGAAAAUGGCCAUUUGUACUUUUGAUAGAAUAAAUAGUAGGGCCGUCAACAUUAACGCAUUAAUCUAUGCAAUUAAUGUGGCCGAAUUAAUGCAAAAAAAUAUUUUAACGUAGUUAACGUACGUUUGUUUGAACCGGAAGUUUAACGAAACGGGCGCUAGCUGCAGUCAGUUACAUCGAGAUGGAGAGCGCUUUUUGCAUUGGAAGUAAAACAAACAGAGGCUCAACAUACAGCAGAGACCUGUGCAGAGGAAUUACUCCACAUGUCAAACAGAAGGGGGGUGAGUAGCAAACGGACCACUUAAAGCACUGCUAUGCUAAGUUAGCUGCUAGGCUAGCUUAGCCUAGCAUGUAACAUCUGCAGAGGACCACCACUGUGUCCCUUAAAGACCGUGGUUUGAAAACGUCUUGGCUAAAUGUGGGGAGAUUGUUGGUGCUUCAAACACAGCUGUUAAAUGAUGGAGGUGGAAUUCUGUCUCCAAGACCAUCAAAUGUGCGUGGU
Molecule: long non-coding RNA, 2235 nt
Organism: Gasterosteus aculeatus aculeatus (three-spined stickleback)
Lineage: Eukaryota; Metazoa; Chordata; Actinopteri; Perciformes; Gasterosteidae
Source: Ensembl